RNAcentral lists this ribosomal RNA (433 nucleotides) under uncultured bacterium. RNAcentral describes it as "partial 16S ribosomal RNA". It matches the Rfam family "Bacterial small subunit ribosomal RNA", at positions 29 to 507 of the family's 1533-position model. The record is from RNAcentral.
AACGAACGCUGGCGGCAUGCCUAACACAUGCAAGUCGAACGAGACCCUCGGGUCUAGUGGCGCACGGGUGCGUAACGCGUGGGAACCUGCCCUUAGGUUCGGAAUAACUCCCCGAAAGGGGUGCUAAUACCGGAUAAUGUCUUCGGACCAAAGAUUUAUCGCCUUUGGAUGGGCCCGCGUUGGAUUAGCUAGUUGGUAGGGUAAAAGCCUACCAAGGCGACGAUCCAUAGCUGGUCUGAGAGGAUGAUCAGCCACACUGGGACUGAGACACGGCCCAGACUCCUACGGGAGGCAGCAGUGGGGAAUAUUGGACAAUGGGCGAAGGCCUGAUCCAGCAAUGCCGCGUGAGUGAUGAAGGCCUUAGGGUUGUAAAGCUCUUUUACCCGGGAUGGUAAUGACAGUACCGGGAGAAUAAGCUCCGGCUAACUCCGUG